UCUCCAACCAAACGCCCUCAAUAAUUUAUUAUUUUAAGUCUGUUCUUUAAUUUUAUUGGUUAAUUGAAUUAAACUAUCAUAUUAAAAUAAGAUUUCCAUACAUAUUUUGAGUGUCACUUGUCUCUAAAUGAUAAUAAGCCUCCAGACAUAUUUUGAGUGCCACUUGAAGAUGUAGCCAUUUGAAAAUUAUUGACACAGUUAACCAAAUGAGAGCUUGAACCUAUUUACUUGUGAAACCCUUCACAAUUAAUGAGAACUCCUC
RNAcentral lists this long non-coding RNA (262 nucleotides) under Malus domestica (apple). RNAcentral's name for it is "long non-coding RNA (MDOM_LNC015373)". Lineage: Eukaryota; Viridiplantae; Streptophyta; Magnoliopsida; Rosales; Rosaceae. The record is from RNAcentral.